UAGGAAUCUUGUAGAGAUACGAGAGUGCCUUCGGGAACCUACACACAGGUGCUGCACGGCUGUCGUCAGCUCGUGUCGUGAGAUGUUGGGUUAAGUCCCGCAACGAGCGCAACCCUUGCCCUUAGUUACCAUCAUUUAGUUGGGGACUCUAAGGGGACUGCCGGUGAUAAACCGGAGGAAGGUGGGGACGACGUCAAGUCAUCAUGGCCCUUAUGACCGGGGCUACACACGUACUACAAUGGUCGGUACAGACGGUCGCAAGCUCGCGAGAGUAAGCUAAUCCGAGAAAACCGAUCGUAGUCCGGAUCGCAGUCUGCAACUCGACUGCGUGAAGUCGGAAUCGCUAGUAAUCGCAAAUCAGAAUGUUGCGGUGAAUACGUUCCCGGGCCUU
RNAcentral lists this ribosomal RNA (391 nucleotides) under uncultured Thiovirga sp. RNAcentral describes it as "bacterial SSU rRNA". It matches the Rfam family "Bacterial small subunit ribosomal RNA", at positions 990 to 1382 of the family's 1533-position model. Lineage: Bacteria; Pseudomonadati; Pseudomonadota; Gammaproteobacteria; Chromatiales; Halothiobacillaceae. The record is from RNAcentral.